CGCGUAGGCGGGGAGGUAAGUCGGGUGUGAAAUCCCUCGGCCCAACCGAGGAACUGCGCCCGAGACUGCUUCUCUUGAGUCCCGGAGAGGAAGAUGGAAUUCCCGGUGUAGCGGUGAAAUGUGUAGAGAUCGGGAGGAACACCGGUGGCGAAGGCGGUCUUCUGGACGGUGACUGACGCUGAGGCGCGAAAGCGUGGGGAGGCAAAACGG
This 210-nucleotide ribosomal RNA is filed under the name uncultured bacterium. RNAcentral describes it as "partial 16S ribosomal RNA". It matches the Rfam family "Bacterial small subunit ribosomal RNA", at positions 568 to 776 of the family's 1533-position model. The record is from RNAcentral.